Molecule: ribosomal RNA, 474 nt
Filed under: uncultured bacterium
Lineage: Bacteria
Description: SSU rRNA
Rfam family: Bacterial small subunit ribosomal RNA
Source: RNAcentral
AGAAUGAACGCUGGCGGCGUGCUUCAGACAUGCAAGUCGUACGUGAAACCCCGCAAGGGGGAGUAAAGUGGCGCACGGGUGAGUAAUACUUAGAUAACGCACCUUCUCGCUGGGGAUAACUAAGGGAAACUUUAGCUAAUACCGAAUAGUCCCACAGUUACUUUGGUUUUGUGGGUAAAGCCGUAAGGCGCGGGAUGAGCGGUCUAAGCCUGAUUAGCUAGUUGGUAGGGUAAAGGCCUACCAAGGCUACGAUCGGUAGCUGGUCUGAGAGGAUGAUCAGCCACACUGGUACUGGAAUACGGACCAGACUCCUACGGGAGGCAGCAGUUAGGAAUUUUGCGCAAUGGGCGAAAGCCUGACGCAGCAACGCCGCGUGAGGGAUGAAGGCCUUCGGGUUGUAAACCUCUUUCAGUUGGGAAAAACAAUGAUGGUACCAAAAGAAGAAGCACCGGCUAACUACGCGCCAGCAGCCGC